UAAUGAAUUAGAAUAAUUAUUUUAACUCCUUUGUCAAACAUGUUACUAAAGCAUAAACCCAAAUAUUCCAAACAUAACGCAACUGAAUGUUCCUACUUUUACAAAUAAACUAAAGGAAGCACAAACACCAAGCCCAACAAAACUCCACUGGCAAGGCCACACAAUUGCCCGAAUUUUGCUCACUGAACAACCAGGUUUUCGUCUACUAUAAAUUAAAAUGAUGUAUUAAAGAUAAGAUUAAAGAAAAGAAGAAAUAAAAUAAAUAAUGAUUAAACAAGAAUAAAAAAGACCCCUUAUGCUUAAGGGCUAAUGAGAAAACAAAAUUUGAAGGAGAUGGAUUUCAUGAAGCUGCAAGUUUUCUACUCCACAUUAAGCCGUCUCAUAAACGAGUCUACAAAAAGCCCAUCCUCUGACAAAGAAUCAUUAUCUCAUGUAGUAACUGAUCAAUCAUUAUGAACUCUUUCUUGAGAGGUUCUUCAAUCCACUUCCCACACAUUUGAGUAUAACUGUCCCUGUUGAUGGGUCUGGCUUAAUAACAAACUUAACCCCCAGAAAAUCUUUAAUAUGUCUCAGAGUUUCUAUUCCAUACGGUGAAAGCUUUCCCACACGAAUCUUUGACACAUCUUGAGGACACAUAGCACAGAGAAGAAACAAUAGACCCUGGUGUGUUGAAUCUACAACUCCACCUUGCUCAAUCUCCUGAAGAAGAAAAGAAGCUAUUUGCUCACCAACAUUCUCUGGAGGCAUCAACUCCUUUUCAUCUUCCAUUUCAUCUAUAUCAUUCCCCCGCACAUAAGAAACUGCUGUAUCAGCAGAGAUGAAGCAGCCAGAGGUAGUUUCGGCAACCAAGGAAAUCCCAUAACCAGGAGAAUUUCCAGCUUGAGGGCCAGCUUUAUGAUCAGUAAAUAUAUGAACAUCAGGAAGCAAACGAUUAAAGAUACCACGGGCAGCAUGUAUCAUAGUAUUUUCAAACUGAGAGGAUACCCUGGUUGAGAAAGUGACUCCUCUAAUCCUCUUAACCAUUCCCUCAUCAGACCAGGUCACUGCCUCUAGACUUUGAACAAUAGGAAUCGAUAAAACAACUUCUCCACCUCCAUGAGGUGGAACACCACGACUCUCUAUUUUUAGUUCCAAUCCUUCUGAAGGAACUCCGAAUUGCCUCAACAUUGGCAAGGUAGCAGAGCGAAAAGUGUCAACAGAUGGAUCCUUUGAAUCAUUUGUAAUUCCUUUGAGUCUUACCAUAAGGGAUUUCUUUGCAAACAACCCAAGAACAACCAAUGGCUCUAGGAAAUAACCAAUUGAUCGAUUAACACCACAAUCGUGCACAAGAUGUUUCCCACCCAUCACGAUUCCAGGUUUGUAUUUAAGCUUCGUGCCAGUUUCAUUUAUUUCAAUGAGGCAGUCAUCAGAGACUCUCUCAAGGAGGCGGAGGAAGGAGAUCUCAUGGGGUCGGAGGCCUGGCAGUGUCUCAUCAGCGCGAAUGUCCUCGAUAAGAACAGGAGUGGCAGAGAGGGUUGCUAAUAGCAGUCUCAGGCGGAGGUUUUGGCUCCCUUUGAAUCUCUUAUAAGUUACCUUCCCCAUCUUUGCAAUUUGUAGCUUUGAUUUGUGGAUAUGAAUCCCGAGUAAUCAAUUUCUGUGUUGGUGAAAUUGAAAACUAUUUUAUAGAGGUGAGAUGAGGCAAGCGAGAUUCCAGAUUUCUAGCUUUCUAGUAAUGAGGUGAGCUGAGGGGCAGGUGGCUGGCGAGACUGCAAACGAGGGGGCAAGGCGACGAGGAAAGCCGAUAAGAAUGUGUCACAGCAGAGAAUCGACAAGAUGAGUCACAGCAUAGCAGCGAGGAGGCGCCGCGAGGAGGCACAGAAGCGAUGUGGGGG
Molecule: unclassified non-coding RNA, 1871 nt
Filed under: Hevea brasiliensis (rubber tree)
Lineage: Eukaryota; Viridiplantae; Streptophyta; Magnoliopsida; Malpighiales; Euphorbiaceae
Source: RNAcentral